AUGGCCUGGACCCCGCUCCUCCUGGGCCUUUUGGCUCACUGCACAGGUUCUGUAUCUUCCUAUGAGUUGAAUCAGCCGCCCUCAUUAUCUGUGAACCCGGGAGGGGAGGCCAAGAUGACCUGUGCGGGAAACAACAUUGGAAGCAAAAGUGUUCACUGGUACCAGCAGAAGCCAGGCCAGACCCCUGUGCUGGUCAUCAAAUAUGAUAACAAGCGGCCCUCAGGGAUCCCUGACCGCUUUUCUGGUACUAAGUCUGGGGACACAGCCACCCUGACCAUCACGGGUGUGCGCACUGAAGACGAGGCCGACUAUUACUGUCAGGUGUGGGAUGGUAGUAGUAAUGAUCACAGUGGCACAGAGAGAUGGGGAAGCUACACAAAUUCAUUAGAAGAACAAAAUGGUCAGACAUAUGAGAAGGACAACUCACCUACAGACCAUCACAGAAGAGACAAUAAAAGUUACCCCUUAGACAAAAGAUAA
Sorex araneus (European shrew) is the source of this 480-nucleotide non-coding RNA. Lineage: Eukaryota; Metazoa; Chordata; Mammalia; Eulipotyphla; Soricidae. The record is from the annotation of a RefSeq genome assembly.